GUCCUAAUUUGCUAAAUCGACUGUUUUUUUUUUUGUCCUAAUUUGCUCACGAUGGAGCUGCAGAAGUAGCCCCAUACAAUUACCUGUCGGACAAACAACGAUCAGACCAGCUCUUCGAUUCCUUCGGUUUGCUUUCCUUCCUGAUCAGGCGAAGUAGACGACCCAAAUCGAAGGGGAAGGCCCGCAAGAGAACGGCACUCUCCUCUUCCUUUGAACCAAUCAACCACCGGUUCCUUUCCCCCUUCGCACAUCACCAUCAGGGCAGGAAGAGGGCUUCACGGCUUCUUCUAACCUUCAUUUCUUCGGCCUCGUCGAUCCCAGAGACAAUCUCUUCGCGAAUCGAUCGACCGAAUGCGAUCCUUCGCACCCCCUUAUGCCGCCUCCUGCCUCGCCUUCGAUCUUGUGGUUUUCGCCAUCGGACCGCCUCGCUGCCAACGACGUGCAGAAACACGUGAGGGAGUCGUCGGAGAUUGGAGUUCUCCUCUCCUCCUCACGAGGGACCGAACGUCACCACCAAAUCGCUGCGUUCGUGCUUCCUUUAUUUUUCCUCUCUGUGUUCGUCGCCUUCAUUCAUUCUUCCCUAUACCCGAUCAAAACAAAAGAGACGGGGCAAUAGCCCUAAUUUCUUUAAAGUUUGAACCAUUAAACAAAAAUGAUCCCUCUAUGAGAAUUCUUUUCAUAAAAACCCUAAUCCCUUUUAAAUUUCUUUAAAAAAAAUGACAAAAUGAACCCUCAUUUGACAAAGCAUUAAGAAAUCAGUCCCAAACCCUAAAGUGUUUCAAAGUUCAAGAAUGUUUAUUUUACGGUUAUUCACCAAAAGGCUUCACCAAAACGAACCAGGAUCGAGAUCACGCAUCGAAUCUUGUAUCAAAUAGAAUCAAGAUCAUGGUAAAUGUUUGGUGCUCUAUGACUGCUAAAGAAGACAUUGUUUAUCUGCCAAACCUUCAAAAAGGUAAGUCUCUUUCUCUCUCUCUCUCUCAAUGGAAAUUAGUUUCAAGCUACUAAUAAUUUGAAUCGGUCAUUUUAUUUUCUUUCUUUGAUGAAAAUAAUAUGUUGUUUACACGGGAACAAGUUCAUAAUGCUUUGAAGUGGCAUAUAAUUUUGACAUAUCAAUAAGGCAACGACUUCUUGAGAUGAUGCAUAAUUGUGGGUAUAUGUUGGAGGAGGAAAAGAUGUGAUUAAUAGUAAGAGAUAUAGUGGUAUUGUAGUGAUAUGUAGAUGCAAUAAAGAGGUCUAUUGUUCCAAGUAAGAUUCUAUAUUCUAUUUUCUUUUGACAAACAAUAUGUUUUCAAAAUUGUGCUUAUUGUGUUAAGGAUAUUCAGUGCAAUGUAGCCUCCAAUUAAUCAUGUAUAUUGCUAAUCUUUGCAUUUACCACUA
Molecule: long non-coding RNA, 1377 nt
Organism: Lactuca sativa (garden lettuce)
Lineage: Eukaryota; Viridiplantae; Streptophyta; Magnoliopsida; Asterales; Asteraceae
Source: RefSeq, a predicted model, not a curated record